Molecule: non-coding RNA, 150 nt
Organism: Caenorhabditis elegans
Lineage: Eukaryota; Metazoa; Nematoda; Chromadorea; Rhabditida; Rhabditidae
Source: Ensembl
GAGCAUUGCGAAACAUUAUUCACACGCUGGGUGGUCCAAAAGGGUGUUCUGCGUCAUAAAAGGAAGUCGUGACAUCACCCUUGAGGCUGCCCUUCGCGUUUUUCUGCAGAUUUCAGAGCAAAAAUUGCAAAAAGUUUUUUGGCAGAGCCC